Molecule: ribosomal RNA, 224 nt
Filed under: uncultured bacterium
Lineage: Bacteria
Description: partial 16S ribosomal RNA
Rfam family: Bacterial small subunit ribosomal RNA
Source: RNAcentral
ACUAAAGAACCUGCCUCAUAGACUGGGACAACUAUUGGAAACGAUAGCUAAUACCGGAUAACAGCAUUAACUGCAUGGUUGAUGUUUAAAAGUUGGUUUUGCUAACACUAUGAGAUGGCUUUGCGGUGCAUUAGCUAGUUGGUGGGGUAAAGGCCUACCAAGGCGACGAUGCAUAGCCGACCUGAGAGGGUGAUCGGCCACACUGGGACUGAGACACGGCCCAG